AUGAACGCUGGCGGCGUGCCUAAUACAUGCCAGUCGCGCGAACAGACGAGGAGCUUGCACCUCUGACGUUAGCGGCGGACGGGUGAGUAACACGUGGAUAACCUACCUAUAAGACUGGGAUAACUUCGGGAAACCGGAGCUAAUACCGGAUAAUAUAUUGAACCGCAUGGUUCAAUAGUGAAAGACGGUUUUGCUGUCACUUAUAGAUGGAUCCGCGCCGCAUUAGCUAGUUGGUAAGGUAACGGCUUACCAAGGCAACGAUGCGUAGCCGACCUGAGAGGGUGAUCGGCCACACUGGAACUGAGACACGGUCCAGACUCCUACGGGAGGCAGCAGUAGGGAAUCUUCCGCAAUGGGCGAAAGCCUGACGGAGCAACGCCGCGUGAGUGAUGAAGGUCUUCGGAUCGUAAAACUCUGUUAUUAGGGAAGAACAAAUGUGUAAGUAACUAUGCACGUCUUGACGGUACCUAAUCAGAAAGCCACGGCUAACUACGUG
RNAcentral lists this ribosomal RNA (496 nucleotides) under uncultured bacterium. RNAcentral's name for it is "partial 16S ribosomal RNA". It matches the Rfam family "Bacterial small subunit ribosomal RNA", at positions 29 to 507 of the family's 1533-position model. The record is from RNAcentral.